Long non-coding RNA from Mus pahari (shrew mouse), 417 nucleotides. RefSeq lists it as uncharacterized. The record is from RefSeq and is a predicted model, not a curated record. NCBI's taxonomy places the organism in Eukaryota, Metazoa, Chordata, Mammalia, Rodentia, Muridae. The transcript has 2 exons.
AGUAAGAAAGUCAAGGCAGCAGGAGCCUGAAGCGGCUGCUCUCACUGAAUCGGAGAUAGACCAGGAUGACGGCUUGCCUGCUAGUUCUCAGCUUUCCACAGGAUCCUCCCUCCGCUGAUGUAAUGGUCCUGUCCACAAGUACGAUGCCUCUUCUCACAUCAAUGCAAGUAAUCAAGGAAUGAGUCAGCAUCCUGACUGGCGACCCCUAAUGGCCCACGCUCGCACUACAGCCACUUCCCCAAGGCAACUUUGAAAUCUGCCUGGGGAUGAAUGACAAAGGAGUCCACGACCAGAGCAACUAAUCGGAUGGUGCCAGCUACAGGGAGUGAGAUGCCCUGGACCAAUGGGGCACGGACAGAGCGUAUAAAGGCACACCCGAUCCCGCAAUAAACGAGUCUGCUUCCGCUUUGCACAUGA